GUGCUUGCUUUGGCAGCACAUAUAUUAAAAUUGGAAUGAUACAGAGAAGAUUAGCAUGACCCUUGUGCAAAAAAGAAAAGAAAAAAAAAGAAAAAGAAAAAAAGUUA
Molecule: small nuclear RNA, 107 nt
Filed under: Salvator merianae (Argentine black and white tegu)
Lineage: Eukaryota; Metazoa; Chordata; Lepidosauria; Squamata; Teiidae
Source: RNAcentral